Molecule: ribosomal RNA, 428 nt
Filed under: uncultured bacterium
Lineage: Bacteria
Description: partial 16S ribosomal RNA
Rfam family: Bacterial small subunit ribosomal RNA
Source: RNAcentral
GUGGGGAAUAUUCCGCAAUGGACGAAAGUCUGACGGAGCAACGCCGCGUGAAGGAAGAAGGCCUUCGGGUUGUAAACUUCUUUUAUGAGGGACGAAGGACGUGACGGUACCUCAUGAAUAAGCCACGGCUAACUACGUGCCAGCAGCCGCGGUAAUACGUAGGUGGCGAGCGUUGUCCGGAUUUACUGGGUGUAAAGGGCGCGUAGGCGGACUGGCAAGUCAGAUGUGAAAUACAGGGGCUCAACCCCUGAACUGCAUUUGAAACUGUUGGUCUUGAGUAUCGGAGAGGCAAGCGGAAUUCCUAGUGUAGCGGUGAAAUGCGUAGAUAUUAGGAGGAACACCAGUGGCGAAGGCGGCUUGCUGGACGACAACUGACGCUGAGGCGCGAAAGCGUGGGGAGCAAACAGGAUUAGAUACCCCUGUAGUCC